Ursus americanus (American black bear) is the source of this 156-nucleotide unclassified non-coding RNA. The record is from Ensembl. Lineage: Eukaryota; Metazoa; Chordata; Mammalia; Carnivora; Ursidae.
CAGUGUUGGUUACUUUGGAAAAUCUCUCUUAGUUCUCCAGACAGCAGUACAAGUAAGCAUAGCAGAAUUAUCAAAGCCAGGAGGGGGUUACACUUAGCAUCUUUCCAGAGAUGCAUAUUUAAAGCACCGAGGACACUUCGUUUUUCUGAAAGAAUG